Molecule: transfer RNA, 68 nt
Filed under: Aoteapsyche colonica
Lineage: Eukaryota; Metazoa; Arthropoda; Insecta; Trichoptera; Hydropsychidae
Description: tRNA-Ala
Source: RNAcentral
AAAAAUAUAAUUUUAUAUGAAAUAAUUAAUUUGCAAUUAAUAAAAAUUAAUAAACUCAAUUAUUCUUA